Molecule: ribosomal RNA, 460 nt
Filed under: uncultured bacterium
Lineage: Bacteria
Description: partial 16S ribosomal RNA
Rfam family: Bacterial small subunit ribosomal RNA
Source: RNAcentral
CCUACGGGGGGCAGCAGUGAGGAAUAUUGGUCAAUGGACGAGAGUCUGAACCAGCCAAGUCGCGUGAAGGAUGACUGCCCUAUGGGUUGUAAACUUCUUUUAUCUGGGAAUAAAAUGUUCCACGUGUGGGAUUUUGUAUGUACCAUAUGAAUAAGGAUCGGCUAACUCCGUGCCAGCAGCCGCGGUAAUACGGAGGAUCCGAGCGUUAUCCGGAUUUAUUGGGUUUAAAGGGAGCGUAGGUGGAUUGUUAAGUCAGGUGUGAAAGUUUGCGGCUCAACCGUAAAAUGGCAGUUGAAACUGGGAGUCGUGAGUACGGUAGAGGUGGGCGGAAUUCGGGGUGUAGCGGUGAAAUGCUUAGAUAUCACGAAGAACUCCGAUUGCGAAGGCAGCACACUGGACUGCAACUGACACUGAGGCUCGAAAGUGUGGGUAUCAAACAGGAUUAGAUACCCUAGUAGUC